CUACCAUGGCUUUCACGGGUAACGGAGGAUUAGGGUUCGAUUCCGGAGAGGGAGCCUGAGAAACGGCUACCACAUCUAAGGAAGGCAGCAGGCGCGUAAAUUACCCGAUACUGAUUCAGUGAGGUAGUGACAAGAAAUAGCGGGCCGGCUCAAUGCCGGGACUGAAAUGAAUAGAAUUUAACGACCUUUGCGAGGAACGAUUGGAGGGCAAGUCUGGUGCCAGCAGCCGCGGUAAUUCCAGCUCCAAUAGCGUAUAUUAAAGUUGUUGCAGUUAAAAAGCUCGUAGUUGGAUUUCUGGCAGAGUGUCCUCCGUCCAGCAGUUCGUUUGGUUCGGAGCGCUCUACCAUCCUUCUGUUAACCUUUCCGGGAUUUACUUUUCGGGCUGGGGCUCAGAUAUUUUACCUUGAGAAAAUUAGAGUGUUUCAGGCAGGCUAUUCGCCGGAAUACAUUAGCAUGGAAUAAUGGAAAAGGACUGCAACCUCUUCUGUUGGUCUGGGAGGCUGAAGUAAUGAUUAAUAGGGAUAGUUGGGGGCAUUAGUACUUUCCAGUCAGAGGUGAAAUUCUCCAAUUUGGUAAAGACUAACUUAUGCGAAAGCAUUUGCCAAGGAUGUUUUCAUUAAUCAA
RNAcentral lists this ribosomal RNA (624 nucleotides) under Ciliophora sp. RNAcentral describes it as "SSU rRNA". It matches the Rfam family "Eukaryotic small subunit ribosomal RNA", at positions 341 to 980 of the family's 1831-position model. Lineage: Eukaryota; Ciliophora. The record is from RNAcentral.